This 1447-nucleotide ribosomal RNA is filed under the name Lactiplantibacillus plantarum. RNAcentral's name for it is "bacterial SSU rRNA". It matches the Rfam family "Bacterial small subunit ribosomal RNA". Lineage: Bacteria; Bacillati; Bacillota; Bacilli; Lactobacillales; Lactobacillaceae. The record is from RNAcentral.
GCUAUACAUGCAAGUCGAACGAACUCUGGUAUUGAUUGGUGCUUGCAUCAUGAUUUACAUUUGAGUGAGUGGCGAACUGGUGAGUAACACGUGGGAAACCUGCCCAGAAGCGGGGGAUAACACCUGGAAACAGAUGCUAAUACCGCAUAACAACUUGGACCGCAUGGUCCGAGCUUGAAAGAUGGCUUCGGCUAUCACUUUUGGAUGGUCCCGCGGCGUAUUAGCUAGAUGGUGGGGUAACGGCUCACCAUGGCAAUGAUACGUAGCCGACCUGAGAGGGUAAUCGGCCACAUUGGGACUGAGACACGGCCCAAACUCCUACGGGAGGCAGCAGUAGGGAAUCUUCCACAAUGGACGAAAGUCUGAUGGAGCAACGCCGCGUGAGUGAAGAAGGGUUUCGGCUCGUAAAACUCUGUUGUUAAAGAAGAACAUAUCUGAGAGUAACUGUUCAGGUAUUGACGGUAUUUAACCAGAAAGCCACGGCUAACUACGUGCCAGCAGCCGCGGUAAUACGUAGGUGGCAAGCGUUGUCCGGAUUUAUUGGGCGUAAAGCGAGCGCAGGCGGUUUUUUAAGUCUGAUGUGAAAGCCUUCGGCUCAACCGAAGAAGUGCAUCGGAAACUGGGAAACUUGAGUGCAGAAGAGGACAGUGGAACUCCAUGUGUAGCGGUGAAAUGCGUAGAUAUAUGGAAGAACACCAGUGGCGAAGGCGGCUGUCUGGUCUGUAACUGACGCUGAGGCUCGAAAGUAUGGGUAGCAAACAGGAUUAGAUACCCUGGUAGUCCAUACCGUAAACGAUGAAUGCUAAGUGUUGGAGGGUUUCCGCCCUUCAGUGCUGCAGCUAACGCAUUAAGCAUUCCGCCUGGGGAGUACGGCCGCAAGGCUGAAACUCAAAGGAAUUGACGGGGGCCCGCACAAGCGGUGGAGCAUGUGGUUUAAUUCGAAGCUACCCGAAGAACCUUACCAGGUCUUGACAUACUAUGCAAAUCUAAGAGAUAAAACGUUCCCUUCGGGGACAUGGAUACAGGUGGUGCAUGGUUGUCGUCAGCUCGUGUCGUGAGAUGUUGGGUUAAGUCCCGCAACGAGCGCAACCCUUAUUAUCAGUUGCCAGCAUUAAGUUGGGCACUCUGGUGAGACUGCCGGUGACAAACCGGAGGAAGGUGGGGAUGACGUCAAAUCAUCAUGCCCCUUAUGACCUGGGCUACACACGUGCUACAAUGGAUGGUACAACGAGUUGCGAACUCGCGAGAGUAAGCUAAUCUCUUAAAGCCAUUCUCAGUUCGGAUUGUAGGCUGCAACUCGCCUACAUGAAGUCGGAAUCGCUAGUAAUCGCGGAUCAGCAUGCCGCGGUGAAUACGUUCCCGGGCCUUGUACACACCGCCCGUCACACCAUGAGAGUUUGUAACACCCAAAGUCGGUGGGGUAACCUUUUAGGAACCAGCCGCCUAA